AUGCGGGGUGCGGUGCUGCUGCUGCCGCUGGUGGCCGCCGUGUUGCUGCACGCGGCGGCUGCGGCCGGCGGAGGCAACGGGAGCUGCGAGCGGAGGUGCGGGAGCAUGGAGCUGCCGUACCCGUUCGGUUUCUCCGGCGGCUGCACGAUACAGCUCGUCUGCGACGUCGGCGUCGACGACGUCCGCGCCGCGUGGCUCGGCGGCGCGCCGGAGCUGGGCCUGCUCGUGCGCAACGUCACGCCGCGCGCGCUCAUCCUCAACCUGCAGCCCGACUGCUCUCGCUUGUUCAAUGCGUCCGUCGCGGUGCUCUUCUCCGACAGCUACGCGCCCGCCUGGGGGAACACGCUCGUCGUCAGCUCCUGCAGCAGCUCCGAGGCCGCCCUCAUAAAAAACUGCAGCAGCGAGCCGCCGGACCGCUACAUGAAGAGAAGCACGUCCCACUGCAGCGCCAACGAGUCCAUACGCUGCAUCCUGCCUCGUACUCCCAGCAACACCAGCGGCCACCAUUUUCUGAACAGAAGCGAGGUGCUCAGGUCAAACUGCACCGGGCUGGUGUCGGCGGUGAGCUAUUCGGACGCACAGGGGCCGUCACUGCUGCUCGGCGCGCUGGAGCUGGACUGGUGGGUACCGGGGCGUUGCCGCUGUGAUGCCAGAGCCAACUGCACCCAGUUCCCAGCGACAAAGACGCGGCCGGAGGCGUUCCAGUGCGAGUGCCCGGAGGGCCUCCAGGGCGACGGCUUCGUCGACGGCACCGGCUGCUGGGAAGUUCCUACUCUUCUGUUGGCCUGUUCUUCAAAGCUUCAUUGGAUCCAGGGAUGAGAAGGGGCGAACGGGGAAUGAGUGUUGCAGCCUUGGAGAUCUGGGAAGCUACAUCGACAAUUCGACAUCAAGCCAUAUGCCCAUAUUCAGCUGCUUUUGUUCCCUGUAUUGACUAUUUUUCUGCAAUUGUUUGGGGACAUGUCUUCUACUCCCUCCGUUCCUAAAUAUUUGUCUUUCUAGAGAUUUCAACAAAUGACUACAUACGGAGCAAAAUGAGUGAAUCUACACUCUAAAACAUGUCUAUAUACAUCCAUAUGCGGUAGUCCAUUUGAAAUCUUAAAAAGACAAAUAUUUAGGAACGGAGGGAGUAGAAAAUGUUUAUCAGUGAGAAAAGGAAGUGAAAAAACUAGAGAGAUGAACUGGUAUGAUCCCAGAAAAGUUCAAUUGACAACUUUUUUAGAACCAGUAGUUCUUCGAAGAAAUUAAAGUGUACAAAAUUUCCAAGUCCAAGUGCGACCGCUCGAAUUACCUAUCAAGAGAUUGUGGCAAGAUCAUCCUCGUUGGUCUUAUCAUGGCAGGAAUAGUUUUUGGAGCCAUGGUGAUGGGCAUCGGCUGCGUGGUGUGCCACCUGGUGAAGCGCCGUUCCGCGUCCAUCCGGUCGCAGCAGAGCACGAAGCGGCUCCUGUCGGAGGCGGACUGCACGGUGCCACUCUACUCGUACCGCGAGAUCGAGCGCGCCACCAGCGGCUCGGCACCGGCGCCUACGGCACGGUCUACGCGGGCCGCCUCAGCGACAACCGCCUCGUCGCCGUGAAGCGGAUCAAGCACCGCGACAACGCCGGCGGCGGCCUGGACUCCGUCAUGAACGAGGUGAAGCUGGUCUCCUCCGUGAGCCACCGCCACCUGGUCCGCCUCCUGGGCUGCUGCAUCGAGCAGGGCCAGCAGAUCCUCGUCUACGAGUUCAUGCCCAACGGCACGCUGGCGCAGCACCUGCAGCGGGCGCGCGGCCGCCCCGCCGUGCCCUGGACGGUGCGCCUCCGCGUGGCCGCCGAGACCGCCAAGGCCAUCGCGUACCUGCAGUCGGAGGUGCACCCGCCCAUCUACCACCGCGACAUCAAGUCCAGCAACAUCCUGCUCGACCACGAGUACAACUCCAAGGUGGCCGACUUCGGGCUGUCGCGGAUGGGCAUGACCUCCGUCGACUCGUCGCACAUCUCCACGGCGCCGCAGGGCACCCCGGGCUACGUGGACCCGCAGUACCACCAGAACUUCCACCUCUCCGACAAGAGCGACGUGUACAGCUUCGACGUGGUGCUGGUGGAGAUCAUCACGGCCAUGAAGGCCGUCGACUUCAGCCGGGGCCCCAGCGAGGUCAACCUGGCGCAGCUCGCCGUGGAGAAUGUUAUUUUAUUGUGUUCCAAAUCCCAUAUAAAUGUUGUACUAUAG
RNAcentral lists this ribosomal RNA (2205 nucleotides) under Triticum aestivum (bread wheat). RNAcentral's name for it is "partial small subunit ribosomal RNA". The record is from RNAcentral. Lineage: Eukaryota; Viridiplantae; Streptophyta; Magnoliopsida; Poales; Poaceae.